This 333-nucleotide long non-coding RNA is filed under the name Theobroma cacao (cacao). RNAcentral's name for it is "long non-coding RNA (TCAC_LNC002186)". The record is from RNAcentral. Lineage: Eukaryota; Viridiplantae; Streptophyta; Magnoliopsida; Malvales; Malvaceae.
CAACAUAAGAUUGAAAUGGACAAACGAGAUGGCAUGUUUGGUCCACAACCAAUGGCAGUACCCCCUGUUCAGCAGAUGUCACGCAUUGAUCAACCAAUUCCUCCUGCAGCUGGCUAUCCACCACCAGCAUAUGGACAGGCUUAUCCACCUCAGGCACCUGGCUAUACUGCUCCAGGUUAUCCACCGGCUGCAUAUCCUCCUGCUCAGAACCCUCCAGCUGGUUACCCACCACCUGGCUAUUAUAGAUGAUCUUUCCCUGGUUACUUCUUGGUCGCAAGCACCUGAGUCUGGGUUACUGAGACAUGGACAGAGCUGGUAUUCAUUAUUAAAUUU